GCGGGGCUAGCUCAAUUGGAUAGAGCACCUGAUUACGGAUCAGGAGGUUGGGGGUUCGACUCCCUCGCCCCGUACCA
This 77-nucleotide transfer RNA is filed under the name Cerasicoccus arenae. RNAcentral describes it as "tRNA-Arg". It matches the Rfam family "tRNA". Rfam says of the family: Transfer RNA (tRNA) molecules are approximately 80 nucleotides in length. Their secondary structure includes four short double-helical elements and three loops (D, anti-codon, and T loops). The record is from RNAcentral. Lineage: Bacteria; Pseudomonadati; Verrucomicrobiota; Opitutia; Puniceicoccales; Cerasicoccaceae.